Molecule: ribosomal RNA, 465 nt
Filed under: uncultured Alteromonas sp.
Lineage: Bacteria; Pseudomonadati; Pseudomonadota; Gammaproteobacteria; Alteromonadales; Alteromonadaceae
Description: bacterial SSU rRNA
Rfam family: Bacterial small subunit ribosomal RNA
Source: RNAcentral
CCUACGGGGAGCUGCAGUGGGGAAUAUUGCACAAUGGGGGAAACCCUGAUGCAGCCAUGCCGCGUGUGUGAAGAAGGCCUUCGGGUUGUAAAGCACUUUCAGUUGUGAGGAAAAGUUAGUAGUUAAUACCUGCUAGCCGUGACGUUAACAACAGAAGAAGCACCGGCUAACUCCGUGCCAGCAGCCGCGGUAAUACGGAGGGUGCGAGCGUUAAUCGGAAUGACUGGGCGUAAAGCGCACGCAGGCGGUUUGUUAAGCUAGGUGUGAAAGCCCCGGGCUCAACCUGGGAUGGUCAUUUAGAACUGGCAGACUAGAGUGUUGGAGAGGGGAGUGGAAUUCCAGGUGUAGCGGUGAAAUGCGUAGAUAUCUGGAGGAACAUCAGUGGCGAAGGCGACUCCCUGGCCAAAGACUGACGCUCAUGUGCGAAAGUGUGGGUAGCGAACAGGAUUAGAUACCCGUGUAGUC